AUUGAACGCUGGCGGCAGGCUUAACACAUGCAAGUCGAACGAGUGGCGGACGGGUGAGUAAUGCUUGGGAAUCUAGCUUAUGGAGGGGGAUAACUACGGGAAACUGUAGCUAAUACCGCGUACCAUAGGAUGAGCCCAAGUUGGAUUAGGGAGUGGGUGAGGUAAAGGCUCACCAAGCCGACGAUCUCUAGCUGGUCUGAGAGGAUGACCAUGCACACUGGGACUUGGACACGGCCCCGACUCCGACGGGAGGCAGCAUUGGGGAAUAUUGCGCAAUGGGGGCAACCUGACGCAGCCAUGCCGCGUGAAUGAAGAAGGCCUUCGGGUUGUAAAGUACUUUCAGUCGGGAGGCGUUACCGACAGAAGAAGCACCGGCUAACUCCGUGCCAGCAGCCGCGGUAAUUC
This 405-nucleotide ribosomal RNA is filed under the name uncultured bacterium. Its description in RNAcentral is "partial 16S ribosomal RNA". It matches the Rfam family "Bacterial small subunit ribosomal RNA", at positions 30 to 526 of the family's 1533-position model. The record is from RNAcentral.